Molecule: ribosomal RNA, 492 nt
Filed under: uncultured bacterium
Lineage: Bacteria
Description: partial 16S ribosomal RNA
Rfam family: Bacterial small subunit ribosomal RNA
Source: RNAcentral
AGUGAACGCUGGCGGUAUGCCUAACACAUGCAAGUCGAACGGCAGCACAGUAAGAGCUUGCUCUUACGGGUGGCGAGUGGCGGACGGGUGAGGAAUACAUCGGAAUCUACUUUUUCGUGGGGGAUAACGUAGGGAAACUUACGCUAAUACCGCAUACGACCUACGGGUGAAAGCAGGGGAUCUUCGGACCUUGCGCGAGUGAAUGAGCCGAUGUCGGAUUAGCUAGUUGGCGGGGUAAAGGCCCACCAAGGCGACGAUCCGUAGCUGGUCUGAGAGGAUGAUCAGCCACCCUGGAACUGAGACACGGUCCAGACUCCUACGGGAGGCAGCAGUGGGGAAUAUUGGACAAUGGGCGCAAGCCUGAUCCAGCCAUACCGCGUGGGUGAAGAAGGCCUUCGGGUUGUAAAGCCCUUUUGUUGGGAAAGAAAAGCAGCAGGUUAAUACCCCGCUGUUCUGACGGUACCCAAAGAAUAAGCACCGGCUAACUUCGUG